GACACACACCUGAUCCCCCCAACACACACCUGACACACACCUGAUCCGCCUGACACACACCUGACCCCCUGAUGUUUGUCCCGAGGACACGCGAACAUGUACUCCUGGGACAGGUGCUCCUGGGACAGGUGCUCCUGGGACAGGUACGCCUGGGACAGGUACCUCCUGGGACAGGUGCUCCUGGGACAGGUGCUCCUGGGACAGGUACCUCCUGGGACAGGUACGCCUGGGACAGGUGCGCCUGGGACAGGUACCUCCUGGGACAGGUGCUCCUGGGACAGGUACCUCCUGGGACAGGUACCUCUUGAGACAGGUGCUCCUGGGACGGGUGCUCCUGGGACAGGUAUCUCCUGGGACAGGUGCUCCUGUCUGAACUGAACAGGAAACUGAACCUGUGGAGGUUUCGAGGCGACCCUGAACGCCUCAUCGCCGUCUCUGCCUUAAUGAACUCCUCCCUGAUUGUGAUGUCACAGCUUAAGUUUUACUUAUUUAUUAUUUUAGUUUUAAUAUUUAUGGUGAUGCAGUCAUGAAAGAAUCCUCUCCUGUGAGAGUCCCUCUCCGUCCGCUGGAACUCAGAAUGUUAGCGUCGUGGUUUUCUACGUUUUGGGAGCUUUUUAUAAUGUUUAUUGGAGCUUUGAUGAUGUUUUGUGUGUUUCUAGCAGCGAGCUGGUGUAGAUAUUAUGGGAGACGAGUUUUAAAGCUUCUCUAUUGUCACAUACACAUACAUGUAGCUGCGCCCGGGGACCAGCUCCACAUCUGAGCCAGUGCCUUGCUCAAGGGCACUGACUGGAGACCCUAGUACAUGUUUUUAGAUGGUGGGGGACACCGGGUACCUGGAGGAAACCCACACACACACACACACACACACACACACACACACACACACACACACACACACACACACACACACACAUACACAUGGCUGAACUCAAACAGGAUCAGAACAUUAUGAUUCUCUCCCGUUCACUACCGGACACAUUUUAACUGACAGCCUGGACACAGGAAGGGGUGGGGCUUAUACACAGGACGAGGUGGGACUUCCACUCUCCUCGGCCAGGAGGCGGAGCUUGGACAGGAAACAGAUUCCACACACACGGAUAUUUAAAUGUGAAAAAAAAGUUUAAUUGAAUGUUCGAAUGGUUUUAUCCCAAAGAAUGAGAGUGACCUCAGCGAUGAUGUAAUCAAGUCAGAUUUGUUCACUUAAAUAAAAAGUCAAACAGA
Long non-coding RNA from Perca flavescens (yellow perch), 1221 nucleotides. RefSeq lists it as uncharacterized. Lineage: Eukaryota; Metazoa; Chordata; Actinopteri; Perciformes; Percidae. The record is from RefSeq and is a predicted model, not a curated record. The transcript is spliced from 2 exons.